Molecule: long non-coding RNA, 1609 nt
Filed under: Monodelphis domestica (gray short-tailed opossum)
Lineage: Eukaryota; Metazoa; Chordata; Mammalia; Didelphimorphia; Didelphidae
Description: lncRNA (ENSMODG00000047303.1)
Source: RNAcentral
AUUCCUUCCUCAAAAUGGCCCCAGGACAUAGAGUGUGCUGAUAUUCCCCCCAUUUUACAGAUAAGGAAACUGAGGUUCAGAGUGGCAGUUUGGUGCUACAGAAAGAAUGCUGGAUUUGAAAACAAGAGUGCUGGGGUUUGGAUCCUGGUUCUGCCACUUACUACCUGUGUGACCUUGGACUAGUCACAUCAUCUCUGUGGGACUCAGUUUCCUCAUCUGUAAAAUGAAGAAGUUGGACUAUAUAACAUCUAAGAUCCCUUCCAGCUCUAGGUCUAUGACUUACCUGUGGCUUACCCAGAGUGCCACAGCUAGUAGAUGUUAGAAUCUAGGACCAACAUUGUUCUUUCCCCCAAGUUAUCCCAAUCCACUAAGCCCAAUCCACUAAGCCUUCUCCAUUCCCCUCCCCACAUAUACAGUCUCUCUCUCACCAACCCUUUCUUUCUUUCUUUCUUUCUUUCUUUCUUUCUUUCUUUCUUUCUUUCUUUCUUUCUUUCUUUCUUUCUUUCUUUCUUUCUUUCUUUCUUUCUUUCUUUCUUUCUUUCUUUCUUUCUUUCUUUCUUUCUUUCUUUCUUUCUUUCUUUCUUUCUUUCUUUCAACAGGUUUAAGUGACUUGCCCAGAGUCACACAGUUAGUAAGCAACUGAAGCUAGAUUUGAACUCUGAUCUUCUUGACUCCAAGCCCAACACUCUAUCUACUGUGCCACCUAGCUGCUCCUCUCCCGUUGGAAUAUAUUGAGGGAAGAUAUUAGUUGGGGAUUUUUCUUUGUUGAUCCAGGGCUUAAGAGAGCUUGGCCCUAAGUAAACCCUUAACACAAGCUGGAGGUAACUUGAUUGGCAACAUCUCUGAGCCCUCAGUUUCCCUAUCUGUAAAUUAAGGAUGUUGGAUUGAACAACCUCUGAGGUACUUUGUAGCUUCAGAACUACGGUCUAUAUUCCUAUGUCUGUCCCCCUCCAGCACUUUCAUAUAGAGGAUCUGGGUGGGUGUCAGGAGGAAGAGGAGGAGAAUAAGUAAGUCACAUUUCUAUAGUGCUCUAAGGUUGCAAAAUGCUUCACAGAGAUCUCAUUUGACCCUCACAAAAAUCCUGUGAGAGAGGUACAAUUAAUAUCCCCAUUUUAAAAAAUAACCUUUACCUUCUGUCUUCAAAUCAAUUGGUUCCAAGGCAGAAGAGUGGUAAGGGCUGGGCAAUGGAGGUUAAGUGACUUGCCCAGGGUCACCCAGCUAGGAAGUGUCUGAGGCCAGAUUUGAACCCAGGACCUCCUGUCUCUAGACCUGGCUCUCAAUCCACUGAGCCACCCAACUGCCUCCAGUAUCCCCAUUUUAUAGAGGAAGAAACUAAGGCAGACAGAACGGUUAGCAGUUUGCCCAGGGCCACACAGCUAGUGAGUGUCUGAGGCUGGAUUCAAACAAUUGAAGACUGGAGCCAGGAAGACCUAAAAUAACUAUGCAAUUCCUGUUAUGUGAGGGAUGGGACUUAAUGGCCCCUGAGGACCCAUCCAUCUCUCCAUCUAUGACCCUAUGAGUCCAUAUACUUUUAGAAAGAGGUGUAAUGUUGCUACAGGUAGACAGGAAGCAUCUUGCCCCCAUGUCCUCCUUCCUCCCCCCCAGAAGU